RNAcentral lists this long non-coding RNA (983 nucleotides) under Struthio camelus australis. RNAcentral describes it as "lncRNA (ENSSCUG00000007805.1)". The record is from RNAcentral. Lineage: Eukaryota; Metazoa; Chordata; Aves; Struthioniformes; Struthionidae.
AAACUGUUUUCUGUUUGUGGUAGACUGGGCAAGAAGGAACGGGAUUAAUUAUGUUGCUGGAAGAGAGAUUUUGAUGAGAUUUUAAGGCAGUGAAGUGCCUGGGAGUGCGCAGUGCCUCUAGCAUUGCAAAGCUCCAAGGAUGGGCGGAGAAGCGUUGGUAAGAUUCCCAGGGCUUCUCAAGCAUUCUGCUGUGAGUACAGUGACUGUGGUUUUAGCUCCAGUGCGACUCAUGUGCUUGCUCUAGAUGUCUGAGUCCGGUAGAGAGUCAUCUCCAAAUCAUGUCCUGGCUACAGCGGGGUGGACUUUUGCCCUGCUGAAGGAGAACUUGACAUGUCCUGUGAAUGGCUGGUCCAGGCUGUUGCAGUUUGUUCUGCGAAGUCACACUGCUGGUCUUUGAGACAAGAGAAUGAGGAAAUUCUUGCACCUACCCCUGCUCUCCACCACAUGCCAUCUCCUCUGUUUUCCCAGGAUGCCAAUCUCAUCAAAGAGGCUGCCUCAGAAGAGACAUAUUCCAUUUGUGCCUGGAUAUGAAUGGCCCUAAGGAUGCACCCCCGCUGGCUGCUUGCUUUAAGAGGUUGAGUGUUAUCUUUGGUGCAAUGUCAUUCUGUAUGGCUACGCUGAGUGCAAGGAGAAGCAACAGAGCAUCUCUUACAUGUGCUGCAGCUGAUUCAUUCCAGUGUUGCAUGUACUUCCUGUGAGGUAAUGAAAUACCUCAGUCGCGUCAAAACUGUGCUAAUUUCUAGAUAGUAGCUCACAUCUAAAUGCUAGAUAUUUCAUGAUGAGGUUGAAAGGCAGAUCCAGAAGGUAAUGUUCAAGGGUGAUGUCUGCGCUCAGAAAAGUAAUCCGCUGGAAGCCAAUGCAACUUUUUCUAUGAGUUAGGAGGAUUUGCAUGACUGUGAGCUCAGGAUUGGGCUUUUUCUGUUAUUCAGUUACAAGGAUGAAUGAGAAAGGUUAAAAACCUAAUAAAGAGUCUGUGCAACCCA